RNAcentral lists this ribosomal RNA (130 nucleotides) under Klebsiella pneumoniae. Its description in RNAcentral is "partial 16S ribosomal RNA". It matches the Rfam family "Bacterial small subunit ribosomal RNA", at positions 1412 to 1533 of the family's 1533-position model. The record is from RNAcentral. Lineage: Bacteria; Pseudomonadati; Pseudomonadota; Gammaproteobacteria; Enterobacterales; Enterobacteriaceae.
UUGUAACACCCGAAGUCGGUGAGGUAACCUAUUAGGAGCCAGCCGCCUAAGGUGGGAUAGAUGAUUGGGGUGAAGUCGUAACAAGGUAGCCGUAUCGGAAGGUGCGGCUGGAUCACCUCCUUUCUAAGGA